UAAAACUGGAGACCCCAGAACUUGGUGUCUGCCUCCCAUGGCACCGGGAAGGGUGGAGGCAGGUUAGAAAAAUAUCCCCUUUCUCCCACAGCCAUCAGAGCAGGACUCUGGCUCACAGGUGCCUUUAGAAGUACCAUUUCAUGUGAAGGCUACAAUGCCCCAUUUUACAGGUGGGGAAACAAAGGCCUUGAGGGCUAGGGAAGAGGGCAGCCUCCCCAGGUGGGGCAACGCACCAGCUCCUCGAAGCCGCUGUGGGGCUCGGCCCGCUGCUUGUAGAGGGCUUCCCACCCCAACUCCAGCAUCCUCUCCAGCUCCCGUAGAGUCUCCUGCUGCCACAGCCUCUCAUCCUGCUCCCGAAAACCUCUCCUGUUCCAGCAGCUCCUCCACCUUGUCCAGCAGCCUCUCCUGUUCCUCCUGCCACCCCUCCUGUUCCUGCAGCCUCUCCUCCUGUCUCCUGUUCAGGAGACUCAACAUCUGAUUGUUUUCCACCUCAGCCUGGAGCUGUCUUCCCACACUCUCCAGCUCCUUCCUUAGGUGGUUGGUCUCAUCUUGGAGCUGCUCCACCUUAGAGGGCCGUGCUGGGGGCUCUGGGGCCAGGGGUUCAGCUGAGAAAGGAAGCAGACAAUAAGGGCCUCUGGAUAAAAAAAAAAAAAAAAAAAAAAUCCUCCCUUCGGUGCACAGCUCCUCCUCUCAGGCUUCCCAAACUUGGCCUCACUGCUAAUGACUCCUCACACCCGGAUGGUAGCCAAUCUUCCAAGUCACUUUCAGAUAGCACUGUGGGUGGCUGACAACGGGCACUCCUCCCUCUUUACUGAGAGGGACACUGAGGCUCAUGGAGAUGACAAGACUUGCCAUCUCCUGGCACAGACCUCUUUCCCUCUGCCUCAAAGCCCUUCCAUCUACCCACCUCCCCGGGGCAUUCUAAGUCACCCUCACAGCCCUCUGAUGCCAGUCCUGCUCCUAGGUCAUGGCAGCCCCAUCUUACCCGUCUGGUUUUUGAGUUUGAACAAGUUCCUCCCAAGCUUCUGUACCUGAUGUAUCUCAUGCUUCUCCUCUUUCAAUGUGUGAACCUGCCUAAAGCAGAGGGGAAAGGGCCCUGCAGAGAGGGGCUGCUGAACCUCUAGAGACAGAGUUUGAGAAAGGCCCACCCCCCUUCUGCCAGCUUACGAUUGAGAAAGGUGCAUUCACUCAACAAACAUUUACUGAGCACGUACAGGCCAGGUACAGUUCUUCAUAGCAGAGAUAUAAGACAGCAAAGGACAGACAGGAGCCCUUGGUCCUGAGGUUUCCAUUCUAGGAGCCUUUAAAUCUCUGAGCUAACAGUGACCUUUGAUACUCUCUACCUCCUCCAGAAACACGAGCCUAAGGAGGAGAGAUGGCUUGUCCAGACUCAAAAAGCAAAUUAGGGACUGAGGCAGGGCAGAAAUACGGGCCCCUGAAAACCAGUCAGGCUAGUGCUUUCCUGAGAGGUGACAACCCCAGGGCAUGUGUGGCAAGGACUAGAGCAGGGGUGUCUGGAGAAGAGAGAGUCAGCAAAGAGGGCAGUGCAGAAGAGCCAUGCUGCAUGUUCUGUGCUCUGGGGUCCCUCCAGGUGAGACCUGGGUGCCCAGCUCCCCAUUUGCCCUUGGCAUCAGGGGCUCCUAGCCCCUUUCUUCAGGGCCCCAAGAGGAAACUGGAGUCCAGGAUUCACAGGCUGGAAUCAGGGGACCCCACUGGACUCUUACCAGUGAAUUGAUGUUUUCAGUGAGUUGACUGAUUAUUGUGGAGCUUGAAUCCAGGGCCACUGCUAGUUCUUGGUACUGGCUCUGAGGUGCAUGCAGAGAGGAGGAGUUGGAGGAAGAUUGUGGGGAGGGGUAGAGAGAAUAAUCAUUAGGGCUGGUGGGGGUGUGUGGGCUGCCUCAGCUGGCAGAGGGGCAACAAGCCCCUGCUGUGGGAGGAGGUUGGAGGGCUAGCCUGCAGGGUCACUGCACCUCGGCCCAGGGCCUCUUACCUCCAGAUCCUCCAGGGUAGCAGAUGAUGCACGGCCCUCCCCGUAGAUACCUGUUGCUGACUGCAAACGAUGAGAGUGCACAUGGAGAUGUCCUGUCCCCCCUCACUGUCUAAGCCCUCUGAUUUCCUUUCUUCCCCAUCAACUGGCAAAAGCUUCUUUUCUGCCUAUCUUGGACCCUUUUUCCCAUAACUCCUUUGUGCCAACUUCUCUCAUGGU
RNAcentral lists this long non-coding RNA (2206 nucleotides) under Homo sapiens (human). RNAcentral's name for it is "non-protein coding lnc-WDR73-13:1". Lineage: Eukaryota; Metazoa; Chordata; Mammalia; Primates; Hominidae. The record is from RNAcentral.